GUACAACAUUACGAAGAGUUAGAAAGACAUAUUCAUAUUGCAUUAGACUAAGUGUAAAUAUAGCGUCAAAUUAUUGCCGUUAUCAGUGAACAAAAUACGCUGUGUUGUAUGAAGUUUUUUUGGCAAUGCUGUACGACAAAAGGAUUAAUGGAUGGAUAUUGGUUUAACAUUACCCCUCGUAGAUUAUAUUAUACUACUCCCAGGCACGUGCAAUACACAAUUUUACUCGCGAC
RNAcentral lists this long non-coding RNA (233 nucleotides) under Mytilus galloprovincialis (Mediterranean mussel). The record is from RNAcentral. Lineage: Eukaryota; Metazoa; Mollusca; Bivalvia; Mytilida; Mytilidae.